This is a long non-coding RNA of Apus apus (common swift), 787 nucleotides long. RefSeq lists it as uncharacterized. The record is from RefSeq and is a predicted model, not a curated record. The transcript has 2 exons. NCBI's taxonomy places the organism in Eukaryota, Metazoa, Chordata, Aves, Apodiformes, Apodidae.
AGAAGCCAAGAAAGUUGCUGCAGGCUUGGUUUUAAGUAUCAGGUGGAAGAGGUCACAGCAUUAAGACUAUAAAUGCACCUCAGCCAGUGGCAGAAAAAGCUGAUCUUUCCACAAAAAGGUGCAUAAGAGCCCUGCCAGCUGGGGACAUGUGUGUCCCUUGGUGUCACAAGCUCACCUUCUGCAAUGGUUAAUACCUGCCAAGCCUCUGCUUUUAUAACUAGGGUGGGUCCUUAGCUGACAGGCAGCCAGAGCCCUGCUGCCAUGUGCAGGUGGAUUCCCUGCACCCCGGGAUUCCCUGCCCCCUUUCUAGGCUCCAACACCGGGGACAGCGUGGGACGAGCUGCAGGGGAGGGAGGCACCAGGGGGACACCAUCCUGAGGCAGCUCCCAGGGAACAAACCUGCUCGGGAGGCAGCAGCUGGAGAUUAAAGGCACGCGGGUACUUUACUCCUUGGGGAGCUUUUCCAAGGACACCAUCAGAGUUCAGGAGCUCUCGAUUCAGUCGUUGAGGCGUGAUAAGUUAGUCAGCACUCACCGGGCUGGAACGACUGCAUUCAAUUAGUUUUUAAUUACUCUCUCUGGAGCUCAGAAGAGCACAAAGGUAACUGGAAGUCAGGGUCAGAGCACCGCGAGCAAGGACACUUAAUCUCUUGAAACCUAAAACCUCCAUUAAGGAAAAAGGAUGCUAAUUGAGUAUAAUUUUAUAGCUUGAGUAUAUCAAUAUUAAACAAUACUUAAUGCUGCUGUUGCAUUUUUCAUUGAAGAAUUAAUAAAUGCCUGAAACACAA